UUUUCCUUACGGUAACAAAAUUCAAAACGUUAUUUUACGAGCCGUUAAACACAUCGCGUGUUUCGCUUUCAGUUUCUGUAUUUUUGACUACAUCAUAUAAAGGCAUAUACAGGCGAAUAAACUCAAGAGUUUCUAAGAAAAAGACAACAAGUUACUACAUACAAAAAAGA
This is a long non-coding RNA of Drosophila innubila, 170 nucleotides long. RefSeq lists it as uncharacterized. Lineage: Eukaryota; Metazoa; Arthropoda; Insecta; Diptera; Drosophilidae. The record is from RefSeq and is a predicted model, not a curated record. The transcript has 2 exons.